UCCCUACCACUUACCCCUGCAUACUUUCU
RNAcentral lists this non-coding RNA (29 nucleotides) under Rattus norvegicus (Norway rat). The record is from RNAcentral. Lineage: Eukaryota; Metazoa; Chordata; Mammalia; Rodentia; Muridae.